RNAcentral lists this ribosomal RNA (326 nucleotides) under uncultured Anaerolineaceae bacterium. RNAcentral describes it as "bacterial SSU rRNA". It matches the Rfam family "Bacterial small subunit ribosomal RNA", at positions 1042 to 1382 of the family's 1533-position model. Lineage: Bacteria; Bacillati; Chloroflexota; Anaerolineae; Anaerolineales; Anaerolineaceae. The record is from RNAcentral.
UGCAUGGGCUGUCGUCAGCUCGUGUCGUGAGAUGUUCGGUUAAGUCCGCUAACGAGCGCAACCCUCGUCGUAUGUUAUAUGUGUCAUACGAGACUGCCGGUAAAAGCCGGAGGAAGGUGAGGAUGAUGUCAAGUCAGCAUGACCUUUAUAUCCAGGGCUACACACACGCUACAAUGGUCUGUACAAUGGGUAGCCAAGCCGCGAGGCGGAGCCAAUCCUGAAAGCAGGCCUCAGUUCAGAUUGCAGUCUGCAACUCGACUGCAUGAAGCCGGAGUUGCUAGUAACCGCAGGUCAGCAAUACUGCGGUGAAUACGUUCCCGGGUCUU